Long non-coding RNA from Chelonoidis abingdonii (Abingdon island giant tortoise), 418 nucleotides. RefSeq lists it as uncharacterized. Lineage: Eukaryota; Metazoa; Chordata; Testudines; Testudinidae. The record is from RefSeq and is a predicted model, not a curated record.
UGCAGCAGUAAGAAGGCAGGGGGAAGCACAGAUAGGAAAAUCGCGCCUAAUCAGAUUUCUGAAUGAACUGUCAAGUAUAACAUAAGGUGUGUGCCCCACAAGACAGCUGCUUGGGGUUUUUAUACGCCAUUGUCCACAUAGAGACCCAGCCACAAACCAUGGAGCAUAUGGAAAAUGUGAACUUGCUACCAGGGCAGAAACAUGAAGAGCAAGUACCAUCUUUCAAGUUUUCUGAUUCCAUGGAAAAAGAUUUGUUAUCACAGUAGACGGAAGCAAUGUGUCCUUGACAGAUAUUUGUUUUAACAAACACUUUAAAAUAGACAUCCAUAUCUGUAACCAUGCAAGAAAAUAAUGCUAUUUUGUUUCUUCAGAUUUGCAGUAUGUACCCAAUAAAACACAAUUCAGAUUCUCAUGUCAC